RNAcentral lists this long non-coding RNA (661 nucleotides) under Rattus norvegicus (Norway rat). RNAcentral describes it as "long non-coding RNA NONRATT026935". The record is from RNAcentral. Lineage: Eukaryota; Metazoa; Chordata; Mammalia; Rodentia; Muridae.
UGAAGCAACCCUACAGAAUUCAGGAAGGAGACAGAGCUGUCCAUCAUCCACACUCCUUUUCAAGACUGUGUUGGAAGACACAGCAAGAGCAAUAAGGAAAGAGAAGAGAACUAGAGGGUACAAGGAGGCAUGAUUAGUCCAAGGAUCCCUGUUUGCAGAUGGCGUAUUGUAUAGAAGAGAUUCCAAAAAUUCUACCGGAAAACUUCUAGGAACAACUAAUUCAACAAUGUGACAGGAUAUAGAAUCUACUUGCCCAAAUCAGUAGCGUUUCUACACCUCUACAGUAAACACACAGAGGAGAUCAUGGACACAUGCCCAUUUGCAACAGCCUCAAAGAAAAUAGAGUAUCAGGAGCCUCUGGCUUCUGCUGGCUGAAGCAGCAGCAGCCUUGUUGCUAUUUCAUGCAGAAACAAGUGAUGCUGCCCACCUGAGCAGACUUAAAAGAGGGUAGUGAAUGCAGUCCCAAUCCUGUAAUUUUACCCCAAGACCUACUUCUGCAUGCUGGUUAGGCUUCAGGCAGAGAGGACCAAACAGCACCCGAGUUUCAGAAAGCUGACACUCAACUGUCAUCCCGUGGCUGGAAGAAGCUCAGUGGGAAAGAAUGUCUAUUGUGUAAGCACAAGGGCCUGAGUUCAAAUCCUCAACACAGAUGUAAAAGACC